Molecule: non-coding RNA, 2066 nt
Organism: Peromyscus maniculatus bairdii (prairie deer mouse)
Lineage: Eukaryota; Metazoa; Chordata; Mammalia; Rodentia; Cricetidae
Source: RefSeq, a predicted model, not a curated record
UUUGGAAAUGAAAGAAAUAGGUGUCUACUUCUACAAUUAGUGUUAUUUUGAUUUUCCUUUUGUUUUAAAUGCUGUGCUGAUCACGACAGCAUUUAUUCCCAGAACUUGUCUGUUUCACAAUGAAUCUGUUUGUCUGUCCUCCUCACAAGAGGCACAUGAUGCUUUUUAAAUGAAGAACGAAGGCCCGAAUCACUUCCCCCUCUGGUCAUUGCUUUCUCCCUGUGUAUUCCAGGUAGCCAGACCUGAGGGGCAAGCGAGUGUCCCCUUUGGCCCUUGUAAAAGAAAUGACAGUUUUUGCAUACAGCGACCAGCCACAUGUGGCUGGCCCUCGGUAAGGAUUUCCGGACUGACGAUAAUCUCAAGAGCCCUCCUCAGCAACUGACCCUUUGUUUGGACACCCUCUGACCAAACACCAAAGGAUGAGGCUGUAAAGGAACACAAGUCUCAUACAGCUACAAAGCACUGCUUCCCACAACACAGCCUGUUAAUCAUUAGAAGUGUGAGCAUCCUCGUGCCGAGACCGGACCUGGCAAUCCACCUGAAGAAAAACGUACAGGUCUUUCUCAACUCCGCAUUCAAGUUAUCAAGUCUUUUUGUUACCCGCCCUUAACUUUGAGCAGGCCCUCCUCCAAGGUGCUUUAGCACACCAGAGCAUGGGAAGAGGUGGACACUGGGACAGUUAUCAGUGGACGGGCUGAUCUCCGGGCAGAAUGGCAGCAGUAACUAAUGAGAGUUGCCUGUGAUCGUGGCAAUCAGCUCUGUUCAUGUGGAUGCGUCAUCUUGUCCAUGGCUCCAGUAACGAUAAGCAGGAUUUCUGGUGUGGAAUCCAUGAACAUUUCCUCUUUCAUGUCAGCCCGUCCAUUUAUAUCGUCACGUUCCAAAACAAAACUGGACACAAUGCAGAGCUCAACGGAUCACAGGGAACACAGUCCCAAUGGAUACAUCAGUAUCAUCUCGCCUGCAUUUAUGGCUUAGGGAACAUCUGGGAAGGAGGGUCAGAAACAUUGUAGGAGCAAGAACAUCAGAUAUCAGCAAGUCUGCUUUGAAACAGUCUCUCCUAAGAAUGACUGCAUAAACCCAAGUUCUUUAUGGCCAUGGUGUUUUAUCACAGCAAUAGAAAUCCUAAGAAGACGAUGUAUUUUCUGUUGGCUUCCUUACAAGGUCAAGAAAGGAUCUGUGAAUAUGGUGACAUCUUCAUAAUCAGGUCACUACAGUGCCAAAUGUAGGCUUGCUCUGUGUCUUCAGAGACCCCCAGAGAUGGAUGGGUUCAGAGAAGAGGCUGCCAUGGGCCAAGAGCUCCAGGGUUGGAAGUUGAAUCUCAAGGUGCCAAAAGGUCAUUUCUAGCGGCUCAAAGGGACUGAGGCAGAGUCUGGCUAAAGAGCAAACCACAUGCUCCUUCUCAGUGGAGCCAUCUGCCUUUCCAUGAGUGGAACAGAAAAAGCACCAGGACUUGGAAUCUUGGAGAAUGAAGAUACUCCCCGCCCAUCUUCAAGGUGGGUUUAGUGUGACCCUUCCUGUCCUUUUCCCACCCACACAGCUUCUCUAAACGAGUGCUACAGUACCCUUUUCUCAAAGUUCUGAUGACCAAGGACUAAGAGGUUGUCUUUCACAUCUGACACCAGAAGUGGCAUUCCAUAGAUAUCUUUCAGAUAAAAAGAACUCUCUCUGUCUGCAGUAGAAAGGCAAGCUCUUCUGCUACACCCUUUUCUCCAAGUUCUUCCGAAACAAGAAGAUCCUAAUGCUAGGAGACAAACAGGCUGCCUAAAUGAGAGUGAGAGCAUCCUCCCUGAUAGAAUCCUCAGGCUGAGAGCUAUCCGUCUCCAUUCACACGCCAUCCAGCCAGUUCAAGGAGGGGAGUACCAAUGAGCCCUCGGAUCAAUAUGGUGAAGUAUGGAGAUUGAUCUCAUCCUGGAGUGAGUGCAUUGAUGAGCUCCUCCACAUGACCUUUGCUCCUUAGUACAAAUUAGACUCUCCCACAAACCACAGUCUUGCAUGGGGACCUUCAGUGUUCGCUUGCUUUUAAUAAAGCACACUGCAGGCUGACCUCAAAGAUGAUGACUACUUAA